UUCCGAGGAGGCGGUGCUGGGGCGGGCGCAGGACUGCAGGCUGGGGCUCCGCUCCCCGGCGGGAGCCCGCGCGUGGUUCCCAGCGAAGUCCCCGCGCGGCUGGGCCCAGCGUGAGUAUUCUCCGCCCGCUGUCCUCCCCCUGGAGGCGGCAGCGCCCGUUUAUUUGAGGCUUCUAAUGUGAGGAAAAACACGGAAUGACAAGUGUGGGAAAGAGCAAGCACUAAAUUACUGUCAGAAAAAUAAACGGAGUAGCACAGUGCUGCUCGGUGAUUUACGGGGGCAAUUAGUCACCACCCCACGGCGCUGCUGAGGACAGCACGGCAGCAGACAAGUCAGGCCCAUGAGGAAGAAGAGGCUUUGCACUGCUCUCCAGACAACUUUUCAAACAACAAGAGAGGAUAUUUGAGCACAUUAGGUUUUGUGUCUUCAUUCUGGGUACCUACUCUUCAUAUUAUUCUACCAACUUAAUACAUAAACAUAUUUUUAGCACAAUAUGAACCUGUUCUAUGUGUGUUUAAAAGCCUCCAGCAGCAACUUUUUUCUCUCCCACUGUCCAAAGUUGGGUUUUCCCCAUCCCUUAAAAAACAAAACAAAAAAACCUUUCUUCACUCCAAAUUGUCCCCCUGGUGUGUGGUUUUGGUCUUUCUCAUUACUUCUUGCAUCUUGCUACAUGUUCUGCAUUUGCUCAGAGCCACUGGGUGCUAAGGAAUUUGGUCUGCUGCUCCUCUGGGAAAGUUUGGUAAGCUGGUACAAGGAGGUGAUGAACAAGGCUAAAUGAAAAUCAUACAUAAACUUCCCAAUAUUUGUGAACAUGUUCUUUAACAUACCAUACAUAGUUUCUAUGUAUAUGUAACAUAGCAAAACAAACUUGCUAAGGUAUAAUUAAUUGGUAUGCAUGCCUUCAUAAAUAUUCACCAUCAGAAGAAACCUAGAAUGAAAGGUUGUGAAAGAACCCAGGAAUGAGAAAGACUUUAUUGACUAAAGGCCAUGUCUAUGUAGGGGCAACAAUGAAGCUGUGGGUGAGCAAAUGAAGCUUCAUCAGGAGUUUAGUAUCCUUAUGUAGCAUUACCUAAGAAUGCUACCAUAGUAAAUUUCUGAAGUACUUUACCUGUUACAAAGAACGUUUGUAAUCUCCUUUUCUUAUUUGAUCUUGCCCUGGCUUUAGUCAGGAACACCUGCUCAGUUAGAAAUGUAUUCGGUGGGUAUGUACGCAGUUGGAGAAUGUGCCCCAACACACGCCGCCUUUGGCCUGUAUGUUGGAGUCCUAGAGAGGCAGACAAUGUUGAUGAGCUUGGUACCAGCAUGGUGCGCCAUUCAUCCGGACACAAUUUCUGAUAAAGAGGGUCACAACUGGGAGAAACCUCAGAUUCUACUUGCUUCUCUUCUCCACGUUAUUAGACUUUUUUUCCCCUCUUGAAUUUUAUAAGCACACUCCUUUUAAAACAAUUAAUUAAUAACGAGCACUGGGAUUUGAUGUAGAAUUGCGUAUUUGUAACUGCAAUGGCACUGGUUUUCAACUACCCUGUAACAAGGAAGCAAUUCUAACCAGCAAAAGAGGCAGACGUGUUUCUGUGCAACAUCACAGGCGUGUGAAAUUGUUCAGAUAUUGAGAUAUCAGGAGUGAUAUAAAUUGGAAAUUUAACCAAAAAUAUUUUCCAUCAGUGAACAAAGCCGAUUUUAAAGUGCCUCUUGCAUUUUUCAGAUCUUUCUCUUUCUUUUUCCCAAAGUCACAUUGUAGUUUCUGAUAAAGGAACACACUGGGAAAACUAAGCACAUAUUUAAUCAAUGAAAUUUAAGGUGUAAAAAUUCUGCAUUUCUGACAAAUUUAAUGUUCACUUUUUUCUUGAUUUAAAUAGAGCAUUCUAAAAAUAUUACCCCUAUAGGGGAUAAAUUUUUAUAUGCAUGUUAUUUUUCUUUACAAAGUGUGGGCUAGUAAAGAGUGAAAAAGACCUUGGCUAUUGUACUUAUUUCUUGAAAGAAAUAAUAGCAUCUUAAUGACUGGAUUCAAAUCUCUGCUUAUCACACAACUUCCGUACAGUUCAAAGAGAGGACUUGGAUUGAAUGAAAACAGAGAGCUGGGGCUUCCUACAUUCCCCUGUGUUUGUGUUCAUACAGAAUAUUUAUGCAAUAUUCUGACUUGGCCAUAAUCUGUAAUUCCUGCCUAUUAUUCUCAGUUGCAACUAUAAAUUCUAGAUUAAUGGUUAUAAUUUUGGUAAGGCAUACAUGAAAAGUUAUAUGUUCCUGCUUGAAAGGAGGAUCAUUAAAUAUUCAUUAUUACCACUCAAAUUAGUUGUCAUGCUCUGUGUAAUAGUUACCCGUUAUCAUUUCACUAGUUUGGAUUCAGCAGUAAGUGAACAGCAAUAUAUAGCUCAUAGCGCCAGAGGACUUUUUUUGUCGGGGAACAGGGAGAGAAAUGAUUUUAAAACCCAUUUGACAUAUUUAUGUUGACAAAUUAUUUAAAGGAAUUACUGUGUUGUAAUAAACAUGUUUGUAUGUUGGAAUAGGAUUGUGGCUAAAUUUGCUUCUAGCUGUUUAAUUACUCUUAUUAUGAUUGUGAAAAACAGUGCUUCUUCAAGUAGUUCCAAGGAAAAAAAUAGAAAAUGGAAAAGUUGAGCUAUUUCAGUCUUUUGCAGGUAUCUAACCUUGCCAUGAAAAAGCACUUUUCAUUUUUGUAAGUAGAUAUUGAAAUCUUGCUUUUUCAGCGAAGCUAGAUUGUAUAAUUUAUUAGUUUUCUCCACCUGGUAACACAUCCUUAAGAAAAAAAUUGCCAAAAGUAAAGCAUGAGAUGGAUUUUAAAAUAAAUGUUGUGGAUGAACAC
This 2818-nucleotide long non-coding RNA is filed under the name Homo sapiens (human). RNAcentral's name for it is "long independently transcribed non-coding RNA 2609, transcript variant 2 (LINC02609)". The record is from RNAcentral. Lineage: Eukaryota; Metazoa; Chordata; Mammalia; Primates; Hominidae.